This is a non-coding RNA of Paramuricea clavata, 612 nucleotides long. The record is from the annotation of a GenBank genome assembly. NCBI's taxonomy places the organism in Eukaryota, Metazoa, Cnidaria, Anthozoa, Malacalcyonacea, Plexauridae.
CCCAGUUUAUAUAUUUAUAUACUCGGAAUAUUGAUUUCUCGGUAUUUUCAAAAUUAUUUUAAAGUAUAACAACCAGCGAAGUAAGCCACUAACUACCCUGCGCGGCUGCGCGCAGAUUAUAUAAUGACAUAUAUAUGUCAUCCGUCCGGUCCGUCCGUCAUUCAUCCGUCCAUCCGUAUCCGCGUUUUAUCCUACCCGUUUUUAAAACACAAAGUUUGCAUAAUUAAGGCAGUGCGGCAUGAUCAACAUUUUCAAAAGCGGCCAAUUAGACCAGGGGUUAAAGGUCAAUGACAAUGACAUGCAAGUGACAUUUAACAUUGCGUCUCACUAAUUAAAGUUUGCGUGUUUAAUAAUGUUUAUCAAAGAAAGCAAAAAUAUAUACAAGACAAUCUCACAUGUGGAAUUUGUUCACUUACGUACUGCCUUGUGAUGCAGUACAAGUAUAAAUACAAAUGACAAAGCAUUUGUAAAUCCUAAAACAUAAUUAAAUCAUACGGCACAUUCAAGAUUUUAUUAAAUACCGUAUUUCAGCCGCGUUUAUACUGCUUGGCGCAUUCGCUGCGUUAUAUUCAUUUAUAUACACAGAAAAGCAUCAAGCAUGUCAUUGUCCUU